RNAcentral lists this long non-coding RNA (1205 nucleotides) under Linum usitatissimum (flax). Its description in RNAcentral is "long non-coding RNA (LUSI_LNC007998)". Lineage: Eukaryota; Viridiplantae; Streptophyta; Magnoliopsida; Malpighiales; Linaceae. The record is from RNAcentral.
UUCUUGAGAACAUUGAAAAAACUUUUUCAAGGUAUACAAUGAAGGGUAUGCUAUAUCAAAUGAUUGAUGAUAGCAUGUCUGUCAGUAACAUGUAAUGAUACGAGAAUGCAUACAGCUUUCCCGAACAAAAUUACAAAAAUUAUCAAAUUAAAUUUCCAGUACCAUAACAUAGCCGACCCAUUCAUCCUCAAAUUGAGCAACUAUAUACAUUCCAAAUAUCUUAUCAGAAUCCCAAAAGUACUCAUUGGUUCGAGAAAUCUAAACACAUAGGAGAGCAUCAAUAACCAGCAAAAAAGUAACAAACAACCAACUUACUUCUAAUGAAUGUCAAGAACAUCAGUCCUCCCAGCCUUUUCCACAAUGACCCAGAGAGCAAGUGACUGUGGAUCCGGGAAAAGGCUGAGAGGAAUGAUGUGCCUGAUAUUGAUAAGAAGAAGUAAGUGGGUUGUUUAGUACUCUAUUGCUGGCUGAUCAAAAGUGCCCGUUGAUGCCUCAAAUUGAUCAGCUAUAUGCAUUCCAAAAAUCUUAUCACAAUCCCAAAAACACCCAUUGGUUAGAGAAAUCUAAAUACGUAGGAGAGCAAUAGGGUAACUAACAACCAACUUACUUCUUCUUAUCAAUGUCAGGAACAUCACUCCUCUCAGCCUUUUCCACAAUGACCUGGAUUUUCAGUCUUUUUAAAUAAGCAAACAUACUAAACUUGCAAAAGAAUAAGGGCAAGGAAAAGAAAGGUGUGAAGAGGACACUACUCACAGGAAUUCUAUCAGGAUACUUCUCCCUGAUACGAGAAGCCUCAGCUUGGCGCCUCUCUAAAUCGAAGUAAAAAUUAAAAAGCAGGCCAAGAUGCAAGAUAUUGAACUGAAUCACUAAUAUAAAUAUUUCUUCAAAGAUAGCAAGAUGAUGAGGACAAGCACGAAUCGCAUGACAAAGGUAUCACUCAACAGCUAAAAUACAAUCAUAAACAAAGAGUCCAAAGACUCCAAUAGGCUUUAAAACACUCGAAAAUUCAGAGACAAGCAUGGUAUCGCUGAGAGAACAUCAAAGUUCCCGUCCAUCACAAGCUAGCCAAGACUAAAUCACUACUAGUUCGAAACCCUAAAUAACCAAAUUAAACAAGUACGGUACGGUAGAGAACUAGAGAUCAGGCACAAUAGAACAGCAAGACAGCGAGAUCAGCUGGAAACAACAAGAAGAUCAACGGACCG